UACGUAGGGUGCAAGCGUUAAUCGGAAUUACUGGGCGUAAAGGGUGCGCAGGCGGUUCUGCAAGUCAGAUGUGAAAUCCCCGGGCUCAACCUGGGAAUGGCAUUUGAGACUGCAGGACUAGAGUGAAUCAGAGGGGGGCAGAAUUCCACGUGUAGCAGUGAAAUGCGUAGAGAUGUGGAGGAACACCGAUGGCGAAGGCAACCCCCUGGGAUACCACUGACGCUCAGGCACGAAAGCGUGGGGAGCAAACAGG
Molecule: ribosomal RNA, 253 nt
Filed under: uncultured bacterium
Lineage: Bacteria
Description: partial 16S ribosomal RNA
Rfam family: Bacterial small subunit ribosomal RNA
Source: RNAcentral